CCUACGGGAGGCAGCAGUGGGGAAUAUUGCACAAUGGGGGAAACCCUGAUGCAGCGACGCCGCGUGAGUGAAGACGGUCUUCGGUAUGUAAAGCUCUAUUAGUAGGGAAGAAAAUUGCGGUACGUGAGUAAGCAAGCCAGGCUAACUAAGUGCCAACAGCCGCGGUAAUACGUCGGGGGCCAGCGUUAUCCGGAUUUUCUGGGUGUAAAGGGGGCGUAGGCGGCAGGGCAAGUCCGGAGUGAAAAGCGGGGGCUUAACCCGCGAACUGCCGUUGAAACUGUUCGUCUGGAGUGGAGGAGAGGUAAGCGGAAUGCCUAGUGUAGCGGUGAAAUGCGUAGAUAUUAGGAGGAACACCGGUGGCGAAGGCGGCUUACUGGACUGUAACUGACGCUGAGGCUCGAAAGCGUGGGGAGCAAACAGGAUUAGAUACCCGAGUAGUC
RNAcentral lists this ribosomal RNA (440 nucleotides) under uncultured bacterium. Its description in RNAcentral is "partial 16S ribosomal RNA". It matches the Rfam family "Bacterial small subunit ribosomal RNA", at positions 338 to 795 of the family's 1533-position model. The record is from RNAcentral.